UUUCAGAGCCAGAGAUCGACAGCCUGUUCCAGAUCACAUGGAGAUCUGUGACCUCGGGCUCUGACGCG
Molecule: microRNA precursor, 68 nt
Organism: Ictalurus punctatus (channel catfish)
Lineage: Eukaryota; Metazoa; Chordata; Actinopteri; Siluriformes; Ictaluridae
Source: Ensembl